RNAcentral lists this ribosomal RNA (492 nucleotides) under uncultured bacterium. RNAcentral's name for it is "partial 16S ribosomal RNA". It matches the Rfam family "Bacterial small subunit ribosomal RNA", at positions 29 to 507 of the family's 1533-position model. The record is from RNAcentral.
AGUGAACGCUGGCGGUAGGCCUAACACAUGCAAGUCGAACGGCAGCACAGCAAGAGCUUGCUCUUACGGGUGGCGAGUGGCGGACGGGUGAGGAAUACAUCGGAAUCUACUUUUUCGUGGGGGAUAACGUAGGGAAACUUACGCUAAUACCGCAUACGACCUACGGGUGAAAGCAGGGGAUCUUCGGACCUUGCGCGAUUGAAUGAGCCGAUGUCGGAUUAGCUAGUUGGCGGGGUAAAGGCCCACCAAGGCGACGAUCCGUAGCUGGUCUGAGAGGAUGAUCAGCCACACUGGAACUGAGACACGGUCCAGACUCCUACGGGAGGCAGCAGUGGGGAAUAUUGGACAAUGGGCGCAAGCCUGAUCCAGCCAUACUGCGUGGGUGAAGAAGGCCUUCGGGUUGUAAAGCCCUUUUGUUGGGAAAGAAAAGCAGCAGGUUAAUACCCCGCUGUUCUGACGGUACCCAAAGAAUAAGCACCGGCUAACUUCGUG